This 464-nucleotide ribosomal RNA is filed under the name uncultured Glomus. RNAcentral describes it as "SSU rRNA". It matches the Rfam family "Eukaryotic small subunit ribosomal RNA", at positions 569 to 1037 of the family's 1831-position model. Lineage: Eukaryota; Fungi; Glomeromycota; Glomeromycetes; Glomerales; Glomeraceae. The record is from RNAcentral.
AGCAGCCGCGGUAAUUCCAGCUCCAAUAGCGUAUAUUAAAGUUGUUGCAGUUAAAAAGCUCGUAGUUGAAUUUCGGGGUUAGUAGGUUGGUCAUGCCUCUGGUAUGUACUGGUCUCACUGAUUCCUCCUUCCUGAUGAGCCUUAAUGCCAUUAAUUUGGUGUUUUGGGGAAUUUGGACUGUUACUUUGAAAAAUUAGAGUGUUUAAAGCAAGCUAACGCUUGAAUACAUUAGCAUGGAAUAAUGAAAUAGGACGUUCGAUCCUAUUUUGUUGGCUUCUAGGAUUGACGUAAUGAUUAAUAGGGAUAGUUGGGGGCAUUAGUAUUCAAUUGUCAGAGGUGAAAUUCUUGGAUUUAUUGAAGACUAACUACUGCGAAAGCAUUUGCCAAGGAUGUUUUCAUUAAUACAAGAACGAAAGUUAGGGGAUCGAAGACGAUCAGAUACCGUCGUAGUCUUAACCAUAAAC